This 463-nucleotide ribosomal RNA is filed under the name uncultured bacterium. Its description in RNAcentral is "SSU rRNA". It matches the Rfam family "Bacterial small subunit ribosomal RNA", at positions 26 to 518 of the family's 1533-position model. The record is from RNAcentral.
AGGAUUAACGCUGGCGGCGUGCCUAACACAUGCAAGUCGAACGAGGUAGCAAUACCUAGUGGCAGACGGGUGAGUAGCGCGUGGUCAACCUACCGUUGAGUGGGGGAUAACUAGCCGAAAGGUUAGCUAAUACCGCAUACGUCUCCGAGGGGCAUCCCUUGGUGAUAAAAGGAGCAAUCCGCUCGAUGACGGGACCGCGUCCCAUUAGCUAGUUGGUGGGGUAACGGCCUACCAAGGCAUCGAUGGGUAACUGGUUUGAGAGAGCGACCAGCCACACUGGGACUGAGAUACGGCCCAGACUCCUACGGGAGGCAGCAGUGAGGAAUUUUCCGCAAUGGGCGAAAGCCUGACGGAGCGACGCCGCGUGUGGGAAGAAGGCCUUCGGGUCGUAAACCACUGUCGAAGGGGAAGAUAAUGACGGUACCCUUGGAGGAAGCCCGGCUAACUACGUGCCAGCAGCCGC